UACGGAAGGGGCAAGCGUUGUUCGGAAUCAUUGGGCGUAAAGGGCGCGCAGGUGGCUCUGUAUGUCUGCCGUGAAAGCAUACAGCUCAACUGUAUUGUGUCGGUAGAAACUGCAGGACUUGAGGCUGGGAGGGGCUGGUGGAAUUCCCUGUGUAGCGGUGAAAUGCGUAGAGAUGGGGGAGAACACGCGUGGCGAAGGCGGCCAGCUAGACCAGUUCUGACGCUGAGGUGCGAAAGCGUGGGGAGCAAACAGG
This 253-nucleotide ribosomal RNA is filed under the name uncultured bacterium. RNAcentral's name for it is "partial 16S ribosomal RNA". It matches the Rfam family "Bacterial small subunit ribosomal RNA", at positions 524 to 776 of the family's 1533-position model. The record is from RNAcentral.